RNAcentral lists this ribosomal RNA (538 nucleotides) under uncultured bacterium. RNAcentral describes it as "partial 16S ribosomal RNA". It matches the Rfam family "Bacterial small subunit ribosomal RNA", at positions 355 to 909 of the family's 1533-position model. The record is from RNAcentral.
UGGGGAAUAUUGCACAAUGGGCGAAAGCCUGAUGCAGCAACGCCGCGUGAGUGAUGAAGGCCUUCGGGUUGUAAAGCUCUGUCUUUUGGGACGAUAAUGACGGUACCAAAGGAGGAAGCCACGGCUAACUACGUGCCAGCAGCCGCGGUAAUACGUAGGUGGCAAGCGUUGUCCGGAUUUACUGGGCGUAAAGGAUGCGUAGGCGGAUUUUUAAGUGAGAUGUGAAAACCCUAAGCUUAACUUGGGGACUGCAUUUCAUACUGGAAAUCUAGAGUGCGGGAGAGGAGAAUGGAAUUCCUAGUGUAGCGGUGAAAUGCGUAGAGAUUAGGAAGAACACCAGUGGCGAAGGCGAUUCUCUGGACCGUAACUGACGCUGAGGCAUGAAAGCGUGGGUAGCAAACAGGAUUAGAUACCCUGGUAGUCCACGCCGUAAACGAUGAGUACUAGGUGUAGGAGGUAUCGACCCCUUCUGUGCCGCAGUUAACACAAUAAGUACUCCGCCUGGGAAGUACGAUCGCAAGAUUAAAACUCAAAUGAA